Molecule: ribosomal RNA, 320 nt
Filed under: uncultured eukaryote
Lineage: Eukaryota
Description: partial 18S ribosomal RNA
Rfam family: Eukaryotic small subunit ribosomal RNA
Source: RNAcentral
CCCUUAGAUGUUCUGGGCUGCACGCGUGCUACACUGAUAUUGCCAAUAUGUCAUUCUUAUCCGAAAUGGAUUGGGUAAUCAAGUAAUGAAAUUUCAUACUUGGAAUCGGUAAUUGCAAUUUUAUCGUGAACGAGGAAUUCCUAGUAAGCACUAGUCAUCAGCUAAUGUCGAUUACGUCCCUGCCCUUUGUACACACCGCCCGUCGCUCCUACCGAUUGGGUGAUCCGGUGAAUGAUUCGGACCGGCGUAGUGCUAGCUACUAGUGCUGUACUGGAAAGUUUUGUGAACCUUAUCACCUGGAGGAAGGAGAAGUCGUAACA